This 253-nucleotide ribosomal RNA is filed under the name uncultured bacterium. Its description in RNAcentral is "partial 16S ribosomal RNA". It matches the Rfam family "Bacterial small subunit ribosomal RNA", at positions 524 to 776 of the family's 1533-position model. The record is from RNAcentral.
GACAGAGGUGCCAAGCGUUAGGCGGAAUCACUGGGCUUAAAGCGUGUGUAGGCGGACCCGUUAGUGUCUUGUGAAAUCCCAUGGCUCAACCAUGGAACUGCUCGACAUACUGCGGGUCUUGAGCCACUUAGGGGUCAGCGGAACAAAUGGUGGAGCGGUGAAAUGCGUAGAUAUCAUUUGGAACGCCAACGGUGAAAACAGCUGACUGGGAGUGUGCUGACGCUGAGACACGAAAGCCAGGGGAGCAAACGGG